Molecule: ribosomal RNA, 714 nt
Filed under: uncultured bacterium
Lineage: Bacteria
Description: bacterial SSU rRNA
Rfam family: Bacterial small subunit ribosomal RNA
Source: RNAcentral
UGCAGUCGAACGGUGAUAGCAAUAUCAUAGUGGCGCACGGGUGCGUAACACCUAUGCAACCUACCUUAUACUGAGGGAUAGCCUUUCGAAAGGGAGAUUAAUACCUCAUAACACAUUGAACUGGCAUCAGUUUAUUGUUAAAGAUUUAUUGGUAUAAGAUGGGCAUGCGUCCAAUUAGUUAGUUGGCGAGGUAACGGCUCACCAAGACGAUGAUUGGUAGGGGAACUGAGAGGUUAAUCCCCCACACUGGCACUGAGAUACGGGCCAGACUCCUACGGGAGGCAGCAGUAGGGAAUAUUGGGCAAUGGAGGCAACUCUGACCCAGCCAUGCCGCGUGCAGGAAGAAGGCGUUAUGCGUUGUAAACUGCUUUUAUAUAGGAAGAAAUAGACCUUGCGAGGUAAGUUGACGGUACUAUAUGAAUAAGCACCGGCUAACUCCGUGCCAGCAGCCGCGGUAAUACGGAGGGUGCAAGCGUUGUCCGGAUUUAUUGGGUUUAAAGGGUGCGUAGGCGGUUUAUUAAGUCAGUGGUGAAAGACGGUCGCUCAACGAUUGCAGUGCCAUUGAUACUGGUAGACUUGAGUGGGAUUGGGGUAGCUGGAAUGGAUAGUGUAGCGGUGAAAUGCAUAGAUAUUAUCCAGAACACCAAUUGCGUAGGCAAGUUACUAAGUCUCAACUGACGCUGAGGCACGAAAGUGUGGGUAUCAAACAGGAUU